Molecule: long non-coding RNA, 3445 nt
Organism: Diachasmimorpha longicaudata
Lineage: Eukaryota; Metazoa; Arthropoda; Insecta; Hymenoptera; Braconidae
Exons: 3
Source: RefSeq, a predicted model, not a curated record
GUUAUCUGGAAGCAUAAGUGUUUCCGAAUGUACUUUGAUUAAUUAAUGGUGGAGUAACAUCAUUGUUUUGGGAUUUAUUAAGAUCGUGUGGAAUAUUUUGUCAAAUAUUUUGUGUAGAAUAUUUUGUGGAAUAUUUUGACAUUAGCUCGAACAAGCGACCCAUUGUAACCAUCACCGAGGACUAUGUUUAUAACCUAAACAGCCUAUGGGUGUAAGUGAACAAAUUAUACAAGAGACACAGUGAAAAUACUUUCUAGAAUAUUCUUUAUUAGCACGAGGAAGGCACGUCUUAACUAGAAGACCGUUGUCCAGAGACUAAAAACUAUAUCAAAGGGAAAACUCUCUCAGGGAAAAGAAAAACAGUUUUAUGACUCAAAGGAACACAGUCCAUACGUUUAGGAUUAAACCGUCUCGAAAGCGGAGUACGACCGAUCGUAAAUUAGUCCCUUAGUAGAGCUGUUUCCCAGAAAGUAAAAGAGGUGUCGAGUGAUUUUUGUAGGACAAUGAAAGAACUGUACUCAAAUAUUCCAACACAGCCCAAUACGUGGACAAACCAAUAGACAAAAUGUAGGAAAUAAAUAUCUCCCACUAUUUAAUUAUACGACACGAUCUAUAUUCAGUUUUUAACAUAUGCGUUUUAGUGAAAGACUCCAUAUGAGUCUAGCUGGGUUGAUAAUCCGAUGUGGUUUACUCGAGAGAACAUUCGAGAGUGUCUCAAGCCUUCGGUUCGUCCAGAGUGAGUGGUCGGACUCAGAGACAAGUGUAGUAUCGUGAAUUUUUACGUAGCUGUUAGUUUUGGGGAAAUACAUUCUUAGAACUUAAUCGUUUUAUUUUGGAGUAGGAUUGAGAAUAGUGAGAUAAAGUUCUUUUGAGUGUCGUGAUAGGUGAUAUUGCAGCUAAAAAUCUGAAUUUCCAAAUUGUGAUAGCUAUUAUUAACCUAGUUCCUGAGAUAUAGCAACUUUUGGAACUUUCGUUUCUCUUCAAUAUUUUAAAAACUGCUACAAGGAUUUUCAAAUUUAUUCUCAAAAUACUUGUCUCAGUGAGCCACAUCAUUUUUCAUAUUUUCAGGCUUUUAUACUCUGUAAUUCAAUAAAAAAUGGAGAUAGCAAGUUAAAAUUUGAUAGAAUCGUUUUACCAAAACAACAUCUCCACUCAAGUUCCUGGGUGGUUUCGGCAAGAUCGUCCUCACAACUCCUAGAAGUGCUAACGCCGCCGAGAAGACCGCUCCCAGGAAGAACUCGGCGAAGAGAUAGAGCCACGUUGUUGAUGAAGGUCCUCGCAAUCUUGAGUUGACGAGCACAGCAUCGCGUAAUGGCAUCAUAACUGUAAAAAUGUAAUUCGCUACAACCACAUAAAUGCCCAUUUAUGACAAGAUAAAAUAUAUCUCAUAAUAUAAAAAAUAUGGUAACUAACACACUCAAUGACUUCAGAAUUGUAAUUAAUGACUCUGCAGACGAUGGGAUAAAUAGAGAAGACAUUUUUUUUGUUGAUUAUAAAAUUCUGAUUGUCCGGGAAAGAUGACAUCGGCGAUUUUUUAAUGAAGUAUUUGCAUAUUUCAAUAAUGCAAGGGAUGAAAGGAUGUGAUGACAGUUUCUUUAAUUUGCGAAAGUGAAUAUUGCGAAGUAGCAAAAACAUAGAACUUAUGAUGAGUCAUUUUUUUACUGAAUUUUCUUAUCCGUAUAAAUUACUUGCUUGAUUGAUUUUAACUCAAUAUCUAAUAAAUAAAAGGGAUAAUGGAUAUUCAAUCAAUUUUAUUUUAUAGAAGAAAUAACGAGGGUUUAUUGUAGAAUUACUUUCGGUUGAAAAUUUUUUCUAAUCUUUUUGUCCAUCUUCGGAAAGUUAAACAAAUUUACUUAAGACUCCAGUCCACCGUCUUGAAUCUACAAUAAACAUCAUUAAUUCUCAACAUUCGAGAAUGUCAUAACCUUAAACCGGAUUUUUUUCAAGUUUAAUCUCGUCGAUAUAAUGAGCCCAACGCAGGCGAUUUGAUUUGCCGAUUUAUUCAUUCAUCUUAUAAAAGCGGAGGUCAGAGCGAAACCAUAAACGAGACUUCUUUACACGUCAGUCGUUGAAAAAAAAUGACGAAAGUAGUUUUUGUCGGGUCGUUGGCACCUGACGUCAGAUGUUUCUCCCAAAAUCAUCUCAGGCCAUCUCCUCGUGUCACCGGACCUUGAGAUUUACAUAUUCAAUCUGGAAUUAUCGGAUGACCUCUGGAAAUUUUCGAUAAACUAAUGACUCGUUCGCUCGACAAAAAUUUUAACGGGCGAGCAAAGGAAUCCUGUUCAACGGGUUUAACGCAUUUUAUAAAUCACAUAAUUUCGUUAGAUCACAGCUAUUACACCUACGACGGUGCUGAUAAAAAAGGUUAAGAUGUGGAUGUGAAAACAAAAUGUGAAAUUUCGUCACAUCGCAAUGGCUGAGGGACCUUAUGCGAUUGACAGACGAUAAUUUUUGGGAUAAAAGGGCAACAAGUGGUGGCCAGCAUCUGCGAUAUAAUUUAUGUCUUGAAAAAUUUAUUUGAAAAAUAUGUAGAUUGAGAGAAAAAUAUAUUUUUGACAAUGAUAUUAAUUUUGGACAAACAAAUACCCGAAAUUUCCAUUAUAAAAUCCACUUAAAUUAAAGAGAAGAAUAUUUAAUUGACAAAAUUAGAUUUUUCUCUCAGUGCACUGCGAAAAAAAAAUAUUUUUGGCAAAGAUAUUCAUUUUGGACAAAUAAAUGCCUGAAAUUUCCAUCAUAAAAUUCACUUUCAAUUCUUGUCAGAGGAAUAUUUAAUUGGCAAAACUAGAUUUUUUUCUCAGUGCACUGUUGGCAGUUCCAUAGAAUAUGAUCAUAAUCUUGUGAUUCUGCAGCUCAAGGACAUUUGGAAUCAUUAAUGAUACCUACUCGACACAAGGAGGCUCCAAGAUGAUGAUGGUUUGCUCUGAUAAUUAAUAAUAGUUAAGGAAUAUUCAAUUAAUGAUUUCAAAAAAGUUUUAUAAAAAUUAGAAUCUAAUUGUGGAUUAACUAAUUCGGAAUUAUCCUCUUCAUUUUCAUUUCUCUUUCACACUUUGUCGUUUAAGAUUCUCUUUUGAAUAACUGAAGAGCCUGCUGUACUGGUAUUGGACCUGUCUAUGUAAUCUAAUUACAGUAGUUGCUUAAAUUACCUUUUUUAUCACAGAGAUUAUUAUUAUUAUAUUAUACACAGAUCCAGGGAGAGAAACUGAUUUUUGACAACGUCUCCUACGACUAAAUUUUCAUAAAAAACAAUUUUACCCUCACACAAUUGAUUUUUCACAACAUGUCCUGUGAAUAAAUUUUCCUGGAUAACAAUUUUUUAUAUGAAGUUAUUGACAAGGGUUUUCUGAACUAAAUUGGAAGAAUUUACGACUAUUUGUAAGUUCCCAAGAAAUAAAACAAUAUGUCUAGAAAUAGGGAGAUGGCUAAAUAUUUUUUAAGAAACCCAAAA